RNAcentral lists this long non-coding RNA (1188 nucleotides) under Chinchilla lanigera (long-tailed chinchilla). RNAcentral's name for it is "lncRNA (ENSCLAG00000022364.1)". The record is from RNAcentral. Lineage: Eukaryota; Metazoa; Chordata; Mammalia; Rodentia; Chinchillidae.
AGACUGUGAUUAACCUUGACACAUAGGCUCUUCUCCAAAAAAAACCUCAGGCUACAGACUCCCCGUCUGCUUCACUCCAUUAACGCACAGCCCUGGCAGCCAGGAGGCAGGUUUUGCGCGGAGCUACUCUGCAAGUCCGGGGCAAGAUUACAAAGGUGGAAUGGCUUGGGGUGCGUGUAUCGCCUCUGCGAAAAAGCUGUUUUGUUUUGUGCAGUUCCAAGUCCUGCUACACUAUGAUUAAUUAACUUGGCCAAGAAUUAAUUUUUUUAAAUUAGGAAUGAUUUGAAUCCUUCCUCCAGGUUCUCAUCGCUCAUGCAAGAGUAUGCCAGGGAUGAGGUCACAGUACACAAAGGAGCUGCUAAGAGCUGCAGUUGUAGGUGCGGGCUGCGCUUACCAAGAGCCAUGGACGCUGAUAACCAGCCAGCACUGCACCCAGCGCUCGCGAAAACAGGGACAGUUGGCACAUGCUGUCGUAGAUUCUCCCUCCACCUGGAACCUUUAAAUGUCUUCGUGACCGACCCCUUCUGCCCACGUUGCCCCUUUCAGCGUCAGGCAGAUGGCAAGGAUUCAACGCCCAUGUGCAGAAUGAAGAGCUGCUUAAGAACAAGAUCUCGGAGCUGGGGAUUUAGCUCAGCAGCACAGCGCCUGCCUGGCAAGCGUGAGGAUCUGCACAAUGGUUCCCAACAGCCUGAUCCUAACAAACUUUCAAGCACGUACACUUCAAGAAUAAUAUAUCCUUCUCAGAGUUACACCACUGAAAGGUGUUCCUUCAACAACAGAAAGAUUUAUUAGUUUCUUCUCCCACAGAAAAACCACAGAAAUAUUUCCUUCUCAACUGCCCCAGCAAGUUCCAGAUUUCAUUAAAGAACCUGCCAGAUGCUUCCUCCUAGCCUGUGUGGGAAGAAAUUAAGAUAAAGAGCAUUUGAAAUUCUACCUCUGCACACCUGCCUCGUACCUUAUUCCCUUCUGGCAGAUCUUCUUCCUCUGUUUCCAAGGUCAGAGCUGUGUGACCUGCCUCCCCAGGCAGCUGGGGCUCUCGGUCCUCCCAGCCCCUCUCCGUCUGGUAUUAAUAAUAGAUGGCUUUUACUGAAUUGUGCACCUGCCAUUAGCCAAGCAUUGCACUUUACAAAGUGGUUCAAAUUCUUAACCCCCACCCCCAGUGGAAAAAAACUGUAAACUGAGUGUCUG